Molecule: long non-coding RNA, 1764 nt
Organism: Cygnus olor (mute swan)
Lineage: Eukaryota; Metazoa; Chordata; Aves; Anseriformes; Anatidae
Exons: 4
Source: RefSeq, a predicted model, not a curated record
UUUGGCUUCCCUGGGCUUGACAGUGACAGCUGCUUUGUCACCUCAGAUCCUCAGGAGCCCCUCUCACUACUUAAUCCUUAAUGCUUAGACAAAUAAGAGAGAUGUAGGAGCUACCAUUCAGGCUGCCCUGUCCGUACCGGCGUACCUUAUCACCGGCGCAGUGUGAAGCUGGCAGCACUUAGGGCUUUGCCUCCUCACCUAACAGUAAAAGAGGAAGUCAGACUUUUUCACACGAAGUAAAUGACAGCACUUCCGUGGCUGUGAUCUGAGUUUAUGAUCUGAGCUGUAACUGCUGUUUUUCACAUAAGUUUGCACUCCAAAAAGAAAUGAAAGCAUUCAUCCUUAUCUUGUACAUCUGCGCUGCAGUAUAAGCUGCUUUCCUUGAUGUCCUGAGUUGUUCUGCUCUUGUCAAAACUCUGGUAUUAUCACUUUGGACAGUUUAUAAGCCAUGGCUGAAGCAGGUGGAUAGCUGCGAAGCAGAAAUGGCCCUCCAAAGAUGCCACCUCCUUCCACUGCUGACAGUCUGAAGGCGCGAUCUGUGGUAUGCAAUGUGGGGUCUCAAGGAGCAAAUGACCUUGGAAUAGGAAACCGAGCGCCUGGCUUUGGCUGGAGGGAGACGGUUGUUGUGCCCCAAAGGAAAGAGCGAAGGAACUGAGUGCAGAGCAUCCUGCUGGGAGAGCUCAGGGACCAGAGAUCCAACGACCAGCUCCGUCACAGGCCAGCUUUGGAAGCAGUCGCUUAAACCAGAGGCUGAAGGCAGAGCUGGUGCCAGGCUGCCCAGCUCCCAGAUGCCCACACCGGCAGGCAGGGUGCCCUUGGAGGAGCCUGAGGAGUUAAACUGCACACCUAUUGUGAUGUGAAGCCCUGGGAUUUACAUGGCGUUAAUCUGGAGCUUUGCUUGGAGGGCGGCACAGGAUAUCUCUGGAAGGGUCGCCAUGGAAAACCCAGCCUGGCAAUGGCCACAUCUGAAGCGCUGAUCAGGCAGACGUCUGGAAGGGAAGCAGGGAGAUGAAGCUGGGCGUUCGGUGCUUGCAGCAGACCACUGAUGACUGCACGUCGUAGCUGGUAAAAGCCAUGACCUUUCCUUACCUGGAGCCCCAGUGAUAUAUCUCCUUCUUGCAUCACAGUUGAGCUCACUGGGAAAAUGGGUAGGCAGAAGAGCUAAGAGAUUUGUUAAUUCUCAUAGUACAAUAUGGGAACCCAUUAUGUUAUGUUCAUCCUACCUUUGCUGGUCGUUUGUUUUUUUAUUUGUUUGUAUGUUUUCCCCUCCCUGAAUUCUAGGUUUAGGGGGGGGAAAAAAAGGCAGGGGGAGAAAAACUCAUCAGACCUGCAUUAAAAAUUGUAAUCCUGACAACUGUAGCUCAACCACCUGCUUUCCAUGGAGGUAGCCAACCUCCAAGAGCCUUCAUUCUCCCCCUCACUUUAACUUUGUGCUGCCACCUCUGCGUCUGCCCAGAACUGAGCACGAGUUGUGACCAGGUUGAGAACUCCUUGACGUCUCCUGGUGCCGCAGCCUGAACGGGCUCUGGGGACAUCCGUGCGUGUUGCCAGACUGGCUUCCUUGGGUAGCCACCGCUCAGCCAUCACGUCCCCAGGGGCAGGGUGGAGUUCCCUUAUCGGGGAGUGCCAACUGCCACCAAAAAAAACCCCACAUCAGCCCUCCCAGCAGCUGGUGGUGUUUACGGAUUGUAUCCAGUGUUGGUUUGACGCAAGGUACAAAAAUAGAGCGUGCAGCAGGAACAAGCACCUUCCCCUUUGAGGAGA